Molecule: RNA transcript, 1661 nt
Organism: Cebus imitator (Panamanian white-faced capuchin)
Lineage: Eukaryota; Metazoa; Chordata; Mammalia; Primates; Cebidae
Gene: ENDOV
Gene name: endonuclease V
Exons: 12
Source: RefSeq, a predicted model, not a curated record
GGCAACGAAGGAGAACAGCGCAUGCGCGAGUCGCCUCCGGAAAUGACGUGUGGAAGGGGCGCCCGGGACGGAGCAAUGGCCCAGGAGACAGCUGGGUCGCUGUCGGAGGAAACGCUGUCACUGUGGAAACGGGAGCAAGCUCGGCUGAAGGCUCGCGUCGUAGACCGGGACACCGAGGCGUGGCAGCGGGACCCCGCCUUCUCGGGUCUGCGGAGGGUCGGGGGCGUUGACGUGUCCUUCGUGAAAGGGGACAGUGUCCGUGCUUGUGCCUCUCUGGUGGUGCUCAGCUACCCUGAGCUCGAGGUGGUGUAUGAGGAGAGCCGCAUGGUCAGCCUCACAGCCCCCUACGUGUCAGGCUUCCUGGCCUUCCGAGAGGUGCCCUUCCUGCUGGAGCUUGUGCGGCAGCUGCAAGAGAAGGAGCCGGACCUCAUGCCCCAGGUCCUUCUCGUGGAUGGAAAUGGGGUGCUCCACCACCGAGGCUUUGGGAUGGCCUGCCACCUUGGGGUCCUUACAGACCUGCCUUGCAUUGGGGUGGCCAAGAAACUUCUGCAGGUGGACGGGCUGGAGAACAACGCCCUGCACAAGGAGAAGAUCCGACUCCUGCGGGCUGGAGGGGACUCGUUCCCUCUGCUGGGAGGCUCUGGGACUGUCCUGGGAAUGGCCCUGAAGAGCCACAACCGCAGCACCAGGCCCCUGUACGUCUCUGUGGGCCACAAGAUGAGUCUGGAGGCAGCCGUGCGCCUGAUCUGCUGCUGCUGCAAGUCCCGCAUCCCAGAGCCGGUGCGCAAGGCUGACUUCUGCUCCCGAGAGCACAUCCGCAAGGCCCUGGGACACCCUGGACCCCCCGCACCAAGGAGCCUGAAGGCGCAGAGGCCAAAGGCAUGCCCCAGAGGAGACUCUGGAGAGUCCGCAGGUCAAGUUAGGAGGUGUGUCAGCACUGGAGGCAGGGGAGGCCUGGCCAGGUGAGCCCCUGGGACAGCCAUGCAUGGGGUCCAGACCCGUCUACCUGUCUGGUGGGCACUGAGGGUCCUCUUGGGAGAGUCCAGGGCAGCACCUGGUAAGCUGAGAGCCGCAGCGUGUCUGCAUGGAACCUGUUUCCUCACCGGGAACGUGAACACCUCUAGCAGGUUUGGGGAUUAAAGGUGGGGAUACGUGUGAAGUCUCUUGCCCAGCAGUGGAUCCCCAGUACACUCCUGAUAAAUGAGGCGUGGGGUGGUGGAGUCCAGCACUAGUCUGGACCCAGGAACGAGGCGUCAGUGGUUGGAGGGGAGGGUGUCUGCCCACCUAGCAUCUGUGGUAAGGAUCUACCUCCCAGCACCCCCGGGGAGUCCUGUCUGGAUGGGAGGGAGGACAGGGCCAUGGUGGGAGCCUCCAGAGCUGUCCCCCUAAAACCUCUGAAUGUCGCUGGCACAAGCAGGCCCAGGCAGGGCUCUCCCAGGGUAACACCAGCUGAGCACAGCCGUGGUCCUCAGGCAUGCUGCCCAGGUUGGGGGCAGGGAAUCCGAGGCCCUGCAUCAUCGCCUGUGAGUCCAGGGCUCAGGCAUAACUCUGGGGACCUGUCAUGCUGGCCCCAGGCCCACUGAAGCACAGGUGACACUGUCACAUGCUCCUGGGAAAAGUGGGGAUCCUCAGGCAGGGCGGGGACACAGCCAGUUCUGGCA